AUUCAUAAUAGGCCCAUUCAUUCAUAAACAUGAAUUGAUGGGCCUCAUAAAAGCCCUUUAAAAUUUUAAGCCUAUGCAAAAAUUCGGGCCUUAUCUUAGCCCAAUGAAUAUUUGUGCCCAACAAGUUUCAUCAAAAUGGGCACAAUUUCAGUCCAAUUCAUGGGAUCACGGCCUAUAUUUUCACCCACGUUUAAAAAUUUAAUUUUGAAUUCAAAUUCGAUUUUAAAUUUUUAAACCCCCAACCAACUAGAAAAUAUCUGCUAUCCUAACAACCCUAUUCGAAAUUCGAUUCCGAAUUUCGAACCAACUCCCAAAAUAUCUCUCAACCAACAUCCACUCGAAUUUUGAAAACCUAUCCAUCCCACAACCUAUUCAAAAUUCAAUUUCGAAUUUCGAAUCCCCAAUCAACAUCCAUUUGAAUUUUGAAUACCUAACCACCCAACAACUCAUUCAAAAUUCGAUUUCGAAUUUCGAAUCCUCAACCAAUUCCCAAAAUAUCCUUCAACCAUCCAACAACCUAUUCAAAAUUCGAUUUCGAAUUUCGAAUUCCCAACAAACUCCCAAAAUAUCUUCCAACCAUCCAACAACCCAUUCAAAAUUCGAUUUCGAAUUUCGAAUUCCCAACCAACUCCCAAAAUAUCUUCCAACCACCCAUUCAAAAUUCAAUUUCGAAUUUUGAAUCCCUUCAAACCAACCACAACAACCGAUUCAAAAUUAGAUUUUGAAUUUCGAAUUCUUAACCGACUCCUCAAAAUAUCUCUCGCCACCCUUCCUAUUAUAAAUAGGAGAAUAAGAAUCAAUACGGGGGACGAUACAAAAAAAGGGAGAGAGAACAAAUAGAUAGAGAGAUGAUAACGAUACAGAGAGAUUACGAUAAAAAGAUGAGAGAUAAUAUUAUUUCCACCCUUAC
Molecule: long non-coding RNA, 910 nt
Filed under: Ananas comosus (pineapple)
Lineage: Eukaryota; Viridiplantae; Streptophyta; Magnoliopsida; Poales; Bromeliaceae
Description: long non-coding RNA (ACOM_LNC042061)
Source: RNAcentral